AUGCCUUCAACUUGUAUAGCUGCUCCUCAAUACUAACAGUUAGAGGAUGAGAUCUGGAUGGGAAGCUGAUUGAACGGAGAUGACAAGCAGCCAUUUGUUUCACUUCUAAAGAAGAAAGCCUACCAGGAAUGUGAAUAUGCAGGUAGUCUUGUUUUCUGUUUAACCCACUCCAUUGGGCAUCUUAUAUAUGUAUUAUGUAAGAGCAAAAGAAAUAGGAAUCAAGCUUCCUGAUCUACAUUAGCUGUCAUGUGCUGAGUUUUGCUACUGUCCAAGCAAUGUCUCAAGAUUGUUGUGUUGUGAUUAAGCAAUCUGAUUAAACAAGCACUUGAUUAUUGAUUAUAAUAUUGUCACAAUAAAUACCAUGCCUCUGACGUUCCAAUUCAUUGAGAUAACCAUCAAAAAGCUAUUUAAAUAGCAUGAAACUUGGAACCAUGCUUGCAUAUUAUGAUUCUAUUAACAUAAUCAUAAUAAUAGUUUAAUGUUAUUAUUUGAUAAAGUUGUUUGGUCAUUUGUUUACAUGUGCAGAAUUUGAUGACCUUCAAUAGAAUAUUAACAUCCACAAGUAAGGUGCAGCUUCCUUCCCAGACAAACAAGAACUGAUUAUUGUUUUUUCAUGUAUUAUCUGCACGCCAUUGGACAAUGAGAUUCUCGACACUUGACAAACUCUAGCUGUGAUGGCUGGUGUCUAGGAACAGGUAGAAUCUUGACAGCCUCUUUUUGCUUUAUAUUAGGCACAUUCUAUGCAUGGUGUAGAUAAAUAAUUUAUACUGAAAUCAUAGAAGAGAUGAUAAGAGUCUGGUUGACCAAAAGGGGACCAUGAUCCAUCCAUAUUGCUGCAGAGAAAGUGAAUCUGUCCUGUUUUUUCCCCAACCGUGGCAAUAAGAAAAAGAUGAGAGCAAAGUUUUGAAAUGCACUCCAUCUUUUUUAAUUAAAGAAAUGGCAAUAUGAUCCUAUUUUCAUAUAACUGAGUAACAAGGGUAGUAUAAAUAAUUUAGUCAUUUAAUUAAAUAAAAGAGAUGCAGUGAAGUGUAUUUAUAAAAUUAGAUCCAAUUGAUUAAACGAAAACUCCUACAAAAAAAUUCUAUGGGCUUUUUAGUGAUCAAGAAAUUCUUUUGGUUUUAUAUUUCCAAUACUUUAAUUUAAGUCUUGACUAUCAAGAAAAUCUAUAUAAUUUGGCUCUCAUUAGCUUCUAGUCUGAUCUGAUUUGCUCCAUUAACAGCAUAACUAAUUAUUUUUAAUGAUCAAGAAAAGAAGCUAUUGGAUUUGAGACAAAAUGCAAUGGCAUACACAAGAACAUGUUUGUGCUCAAAAUCUUUUGAUUGGUGAAAAGGAAAAUUCAUUUUCUCUAAGAAAUCAUAUACAUGCAUUUUUUUUCUAGUCAAGAUGUCAUGUAAAUUCAACAAAAUAACAUAAUUUGAACCUUUUCUUCUCUUUUUUCCUUUUGUUUUUCCUUUUUUUUUUGCCUGCAGUGAAGUGUGAAAUUGCAAUUGCAUCUUGAAUGGAAUAUGAAAUUCUGAAGAGAAUAUAUUUUUGAAGUGUGGAAGGCAAAUUGAUGGAAAAAUGAGCAAUCUUAACAUGUUAGUAUUGAAUUCAUUCUCUAUCUGUACAUAUCUACAAUUUGGAGUAGAACUCUAUGAAACAAAAUUGUGGUGAACAGUUGAUUGAAGCAACACCACUAAUGAUUCAGAAUGUUGAGAAGGGACACUCUGGUUUUCACCAAUAGCCUAUAUAGGCAUUCCAGCUCCUCUUCUGCCUCUUGCAUGCUAGACUCAAAUGCUUCCAAGUCUUUAAGAAGGCUUUGAAUUUGGGAGAGACUGAUGUCUUUGCUUGACUUCAGGAUAAGCAAUUCAGCAUCAAUCUUCUCUACUUCAUUUUCUUCAGUUUCCACAUCAUAUGAAACACGCUUCGACUGUAGCAAUUUUGGGAUUAGAAACCAGCCAGAGGGCAAUGAUUUUACCUUAGGCUGAGAAAUGAAAGAUAGGAUUGACUUGAACAUCACAAGACUAAUUCUCUGAACUCCUCUUAGCAUGCUGAUCAUGUUCUCCAAAUUGGAGUCCAAUGUUGUUAUUGUAAAAUGCAUCUCCUUUUUCUUCAAGUUUCUUAGACACUUGCUAAUUGCUUUGUUCAACUUCUUUCUAGAUACCAUGUAUGCAUCAACUUCUCUUGUGAAAUAGAGUCUGUGCUUUUUCUUCUGCGGAGAGAUAGUUCAAGUUCUUGCAAACAUUCCUUCAUCU
This 2234-nucleotide long non-coding RNA is filed under the name Manihot esculenta (cassava). Its description in RNAcentral is "long non-coding RNA (MESC_LNC008139)". The record is from RNAcentral. Lineage: Eukaryota; Viridiplantae; Streptophyta; Magnoliopsida; Malpighiales; Euphorbiaceae.